UAAUGUAUCGGAACGUGCCCAGUCUGGGGGAUAACUGCUCGAAAGAGCAGCUAAUACCGCAUACGACCUGAGGGUGAAAGCGGGGGAUCGCAAGACCUCGCGCGAUUGGAGCGGCCGAUAUCAGAUUAGGUAGUUGGUGAGGUAAAGGCUCACCAAGCCGACGAUCUGUAGCUGGUCUGAGAGGACGACCAGCCACACUGGGACUGAGACACGGCCCAG
RNAcentral lists this ribosomal RNA (219 nucleotides) under uncultured bacterium. RNAcentral describes it as "partial 16S ribosomal RNA". It matches the Rfam family "Bacterial small subunit ribosomal RNA", at positions 111 to 334 of the family's 1533-position model. The record is from RNAcentral.